CCUACGGGAGGCAGCAGUGGGGAAUAUUGCACAAUGGGGGAAACCCUGAUGCAGCGACGCCGCGUGAGUGAAGAAGUAUUUCGGUAUGUAAAGCUCUAUCAGCAGGGAAGAAAAUGACGGUACCUGAUUAAGAAGCCCCGGCUAACUACGUGCCAGCAGCCGCGGGAAUACGUAGGGGGCAAGCGUUAUCCGGAUUUACUGGGUGUAAAGGGAGCGUAGACGGCAAAACAAGUCUGGAGUGAAAUGCCGAGGCUUAACCCCGGAACUGCUUUGGAAACUGUGCAGCUAGAGUGCAGGAGAGGUAAGUGGAAUUCCUAGUGUAGCGGUGAAAUGCGUAGAGAUUAGGAGGAACACCAGUGGCGAAGGCGGCUUACUGGACUGUAACUGACGUUGAGGCACGAAAGCAUGGGGAGCAAACAGGAUUAGAUACCCGAGUAGUC
This 440-nucleotide ribosomal RNA is filed under the name uncultured bacterium. RNAcentral's name for it is "partial 16S ribosomal RNA". It matches the Rfam family "Bacterial small subunit ribosomal RNA", at positions 338 to 795 of the family's 1533-position model. The record is from RNAcentral.